AUGCAUAAUUUACUGCAAGUAAUUCUAAAUCUAUGCUACUUAUAUUACCUUUUUCUUUAUAAUUUCCACUAUUAUAUCUUACUAUUUUUUCAGUAUCUUUAUCUGAAUAUUUGUUGGGUUUUGCAAUAAGUAUUGCUCCCCAUCCUGUUAUACUACCGUCUGUCUCAAUAAUUAAAUAAUCUGUUUCUAAUGGCAUAGAUAAUUUAGGCAAAUCUUUU
This 218-nucleotide long non-coding RNA is filed under the name Olea europaea subsp. europaea. The record is from RNAcentral. Lineage: Eukaryota; Viridiplantae; Streptophyta; Magnoliopsida; Lamiales; Oleaceae.